UGCCGACUAAGUUAGUUAGACAUGUUGAUUUGCUAAUCUGAAUAUAAUCAAUUGGAUGUCAAAUUUGCUAAUUUAGAAGAAAUCUAAAUCUAAAUCUCCUCACUAAAUAUUAAGUCUAGAGGUCUUCCAUCGUUGUAGAGAUGCGGGUGCCUUCUUGGCUUUGAUCAUUUUCGACUGAUUACAGUGGUUCGGUUGCAUCAAGAAGGUACAAUCACUCUAUUGACAUUUGAUGUCCUGGGAUAG
RNAcentral lists this long non-coding RNA (243 nucleotides) under Elaeis guineensis (African oil palm). RNAcentral describes it as "long non-coding RNA (EGUI_LNC046281)". The record is from RNAcentral. Lineage: Eukaryota; Viridiplantae; Streptophyta; Magnoliopsida; Arecales; Arecaceae.